GGUUCCAUGGUGUAAUGGUUAGCACGCUGGACUUUGAAUCCAGUGAUCCGAGUUAAAAACUCGGGGGGAACCU
Trichonephila inaurata madagascariensis is the source of this 73-nucleotide non-coding RNA. The record is from the annotation of a GenBank genome assembly. NCBI's taxonomy places the organism in Eukaryota, Metazoa, Arthropoda, Arachnida, Araneae, Nephilidae.